Molecule: long non-coding RNA, 785 nt
Filed under: Zonotrichia albicollis (white-throated sparrow)
Lineage: Eukaryota; Metazoa; Chordata; Aves; Passeriformes; Passerellidae
Description: lncRNA (ENSZALG00000014170.1)
Source: RNAcentral
CUGCUGCCCUAGUCUGCGGGGGAGCCCUGUCUCCUCCAUAAGAGGAGCUCUCUGGGUAGAUGGGACCCUCCUCAAGUGGCAGUGAGAUGGAGAGACUCGCAGAGAGCUGCUAUGUCCCUUCACCACCGCCGGGCAGUGAGGAAGAUGAUGCCGGAGGAAGAUGGGCACAAGCUUGCAGCCCACAGCAGCGGCAGACCUCAGCCUGCCCCGUACCUUUGCUCUUAGGACAUGUAAUCCAAGAACAACCCAUGGGAUGAGGGUCACAAAACCCUGGCAAAGGGACUGGGGUGACAGGGGACAUCCCAUCACCGUGCUGAGAAAGGCCACCAAACCUGAACAGCUCGCACUCCUACCGCAGUGUGGAGGGGCAUCCUCACUUGUGAGCACAGCACGGGGCGGCCAUGGAGGUGUCUCGGAUCUUUCACCAAGCAUCACAAGCUUUGGGCGCUUUUCCCUUCCCUCCGCGUGUGUGUGGCUGCCACACUGCUCCCCGGCCGGGCGCUGGGAGCCCUUGGCCGAGCGCCGGGCCCGGCAGCAGCAGCAGCAGCAUCGGGGAGUGUUUAAGCGCCCCCCGGGGCCCUCCCGGCUGGGCGCAAAGUGCGGGAGCAGCUGCCUGUUUACAGCGGGAGGGUGCAAAUUGGCCUUCGGGGAGAGCAGCACCGCAUCUCCCUGCGGCUCGGCUCGCCACGGAGACCUCCAGCUGAGGAAAACAACCAGGAAGGAGCAAAGCUGUCAUCACCAGCCCCGAACUUGUUAGGAGGAAUAAAAGGCUAACCUGAGAGGCA